This 317-nucleotide unclassified non-coding RNA is filed under the name uncultured fungus. Its description in RNAcentral is "sequence contains ITS1". Lineage: Eukaryota; Fungi. The record is from RNAcentral.
AAUCUCUUUCCAUAGUGAGGCAGUAAUAACCGGCCCUAAGGAUCUUUCUGGCCAUCGCAUGCCCAUUGGCAUGUGUCCCAAAUGAACCCUCGUGGAUCUCCUUAAUCAUGAAGUUCGCCUCUUUGGCAUCUACGCAUCGUAGGAGGGUCAUGUCGUGGUUUCGUUUGUACAGGAUGGUACCACUUACAAAGAAACCAGUAGCCAAUCUCCUCAACGUCCUUUUGUCAUUUUUAGAAAUCCCGGGUGGAUAUUCUUUGUUCUCAACAUAUUGUUUGAUGUCGAAGUACCACGGUUUCCCAUCCCGCUCUUCCUCUAUU